AGUUGUAGGCAAAUAAACAAAAUUGUCAAGCAAAAAAAAUUUAAUUGUGGAUUGCUACGAUUUUUUGCUGGAACUUGUUAAUAAUUUUGUUUAAAAUAUUUUCUUCUGUUUGCUAAUUGAUGAACCUUUUUAAAUAAAACAAAACCAUUCAUUAUGAUAACGGAGGCUGAAAAUAAAAAUACGUACAGUCGCUGAGCAAACACAUUGAUUCUGUCUGCAGACUCUGUAUAUUUUGUAACAAAAAAUCCCCUAAUUACAGUGUUUAGUCCCACGUCACCUUUUCAUACAACCCUAGGGCUGUAUACCUUGUAGUAUUUAUCUUAGGUUCAAAACUUCACUAUUCCUUGUAAAAUAACAGUUUGAAAGUACUGACAGUCUUCAUAUCUUGUUGAAAACAA
This is a long non-coding RNA of Wyeomyia smithii (pitcher-plant mosquito), 398 nucleotides long. RefSeq lists it as uncharacterized. Lineage: Eukaryota; Metazoa; Arthropoda; Insecta; Diptera; Culicidae. The record is from RefSeq and is a predicted model, not a curated record. The transcript is spliced from 3 exons.